GCGGCUGCACGUGUAUUUCUGUCCCGGCGUUUCGUGUAUUUCGCGUAAUUUAUUUAAUAAAACGCGGAAUUUAGAUUAUUAAAGUGUUUAAUUAGAGGGAAAUAGUUUGGGGGCGUGUAAUUAAUAUAGUGAGUAUUGUUUUUAAAAGUUUAUUAGUGAAAACUGAAGGGAUUUGUGGGAAGUGUGCAUGAGGACGCUUGGGCGUGGCUCGUUGGUGAUGAGGCCUAAUUUGUUAAAUAAUUGGCCAAAUUGUUGCUAAAAAGACUGGUAUAUUGUGCAUUGAGUGGGAUUUAGUAAAAUAAUAAAAUGGUAAAUGGACUGAAAAACGAGUAGCGUCUCCACAGAGCUGUGCGACGAAGGGAUGGUGCGGCGAGGGGGGGCAGCCGUACGUGUUCGUGUUGGUAAUGACGCCGAAUCUGUUAAAUAAUUGGUGAAAUAUUGCUAAAAAAACUGGUAAAUGGAGGGUAAAUGCAUUGGCCCGGAAAAGUGUGUUUAUUGAGUGGAAUUUUUUGAAAAAAUAAAAUUCUAAAUAGACAGUUGAGAAAUGGGUAGCGUCUCCACAGAGCUGGGCGACGAAGGGAUGGUGCGGUGAGGGCGGGGCAGCCGUACGUGUCCGGAUUAUGCUGGAAAUUUUCAUUAAAAAACUACUAAAUUGGGUGUGAAUGCAUUGGCCCAGAAAAGUGUGUGAAUUUAGUGACAAUUUUGAAAAAUAAUUGAACGGUUAAUGGAUGAAUGAAAAAUAAGGAGUGUCUCUACAGAGCUGGGCGACAAAGGGAUGGUGCGGCGAGGGGAGGCACCCGUGCUUGUCGGUGGCUUGGUGAUGACGCGUAACCUGUUAAAUAAAAUAAUUGGACAAAUUGUUGGUUAAAAAAAAAGUGGUAAAUUGUGUGUAAAUGCAUUGGCCCGGAAAGGUGUGUUUAUUGAGUGACAUUUUUAAAAUAAUAAAAUGGAAAAUGGACGAAUGAAAAAUACGUAGCGUAUCUACAGACUUGUGUGGCAAAGGGUUGGGGGGGGGGGGGAGUUGUGCGCGUUGGUGGUUGUUGGUGCGUAGGUGAAAAGGUGUAAUUUGUUUAAAAAUGGUAAAAAUUUUAAUUUAAAAAAUAAUGAGUCGGGUUGUAAAUACAGUGGCCUAAAAAAGUGUGUGCAUUUUAUUUAAAUUCUGGCAUAAUUAAAUGGUUAAUUGGGUAGUGAUAAAUAAGGUGGUAUAUUCAGUGAGCAGUGCGGUGAAGGGAUGGGGGGGGGGGGCGAUCGCUACCGAUACGGGCGGGCAGCCAGUGGUGUGUGACAUUUGUAGAAAAAAAAAUGAGUGCAGUGAUGUGGGGAUAGUGUUUUUUUUUUUUUUUUUAAUGUGAAGUGAGCUGUGGAAAAGGAGGAAUGCUGAGACAGCAUUCAACAGCAGGCGACAGUUUGCAGUUUGCAGUUGAUAUCUCGGUGAAGUGAGCUGUGGAAAAGGAGGAAUGCUGAGACAGCAUUCAACAGCAGGCGACAGUUUGCAGUAUGCAGUUUGCAGUAUGCAGUUUGCAGUUGAUAUCUCGGUGAAGUGAGCUGUGGAAAAGGAGGAAUGCUGAGACAGCAUUCAACAGCAGGCGACAGUUUGCAGUAUGCAGUUUGCAGUAUGCAGUUUGCAGUUUGCAGUUGAUAUCUCGGUGAGUCAAAAAUUAAAGAAUUUUUAUUUAAUGUUAAGCAAUUGUGAUAAAUUUUGAAUUAUUUGUCACAAAUGUUUAACGAUGCUCAUGAUGAGCUUCUAGUGGAUAAGAGGUACGUUUAUCAGUUGUGAGAAAUUAAAAUUAAUUAAUAAAGUGAAGCUAGCCAGAGUUGGGGUUUUUGAAUUAAUUAGAGAAUUAGCUCUUAAUUGGGUUUUAUAUAAUUUUUUGGUGUGGUCAGUAGAAAUAAAAUGUUGAAAAAGGUUUUUUUGAAAAAGUAGUUUUUGUAAUUUGUCAUGCACUGUUGGACUCAGCUGUCACAUAUACUGGGGGUUGUAGGAAGAGGUGUUUUUUUUUUUGGGGGGGGGGGGCGGUGGGAAAUGAAGACGGGCGUUGCUGUAGAAUUCAGCGGCCGCCGUCAGAUCCCGCACUUUAUCCGUCGGACUCGGACGUGUAUUAUUGAUACCCGUCGGAGUGCGACCUGUAUCCUGAAUUACCCGUCGUACUUGACUGUGGUGAAGUGCGACGUGGAGUCCCGUUUUGUAUAUGCCCUGUAUAUUGGGCGGUAAAAAGCGCGUAAAUUUAGGGUGGAGGGGAAUGAAGACGGGGGGGGGAUCGUCCAGAAUUCGACGGCCUCCUUGUCGGAGCCCCCGGGGUUUUGUUCCGUCGGAGUUGGACAGCGAGGAAAAGGUGUCUGAUUCCGACGAAUCGUGUCCACGAAUUGAGCCAUCGUGUAUUAUAUAGGGGUGGAAAAUAUUUUUUGGACAAGCCUCGACGCAUUGAAUUGAAUGCGGAGGUUUAGUAUAUGCGGCGGCGGCGGCUAGUUUGGGUGGAAUGGUAAAUUAUAAGAAAUGAAUAUUUGAAGAAAGCUUUUUGAGGAUGAAAUGAAUAAUUAGUAAAAAAAUAAUUGAGUGGGAUGGUUAGCUUGACAGGUGGAUAUUUGUUAGUCGGAAUUUAGUAAUUUGCAUUGUAAAUGAUUUCUCACAAAUGAUGAAUAACCGUAAAGAGAACCUCGGGGGGAGGAGCAUUUAAAUGUAAAAGUGAUAAGGUAGUAAAAAUGUUUAACAUCUGUUAUGGGGAGAAAUAUAAAUUGAAAAUGUAUUUUUCAUUGCUAUUUCAUCGAGCCUGAGAAAUAUUUAACAAGGCUGAUAAAGAAUUGCGUUUUUUUUGUGGGGGAUUUUAGUGAUGAACCCGGGGGUUGAUCGCUGUGAAAGUUGUAAGGUACUGUUAAUGGUAUAAAUAUAAAUUUGUAAUUUUUUUGAAUUGAUAUUAAAUGGCGUGAGCAUGUUUUUAUGAAUAGAGAGAGUUAGAAGCGAAGUUUUGCAAAGCCUAGUCAUAAUGAAGUUGUAAGGGUUUCGCUAGAUGGUGUCAGUCAAGAAAUUGGUGGCCCUGCGAAACUUGUCACCCUUCAGACUAGAUUUGUUUACCUUUGCAAUAAAAUUGUUAGACUGGUUAGGAUAUUUUUAUGAAUAGAGAUUGAGAAGAGAGAGAGAGUUAGAAGCGAAGUUUUGCAAAGCCUAGUCAUAAUGAAGUUGUAAGGGUUUCGCUAGAUGGUGUCAGUCAAGAAAUUGGUGGCCCUGCGAAACUUGUCACCCUUCAGACUAGAUUUGUUUACCUUUGCAAUAAUAUUGUUAGACUGGUUAGGAUAUUUUGAUGAAUAGAGAUUGAGAAUAGAGAGAGUUAGAAGCGAAGUUUUGCAAAGCCUAGUCAUAAUGAAGUUGUAAGGGUUUCGCUAGAUGGUGUCAGUCAAGAAAUUGGUGGCCCUGUGAAACUUGUCACCCUUCAGACUAGAUUUGUUUACCUUUGCAAUAAUAUUGUUAGACUGGUUAGGAUAUUUUGAUGAAUAGAGAUUGAGAAGAGAGAGAGUUAGAAGCGAAGUUUUGCAAAGCCUAGUCAUAAUGAAGUUGUAAGGGUUUCGCUAGAUGGUGUCAGUCAAGAAAUUGGUGGCCCUGCGAAACUUGUCACCCUUCAGACUAGAUUUGCUUACCUUUGCAAUAAUAUGGUUAGACUGGUGAGGAUAUUUUUAUGGAUAGAGAUUGAGAAGAGAGAGAGUUAGAAGCUAGGUUUUGCAACAGUUAGUCAGAAUAAAGUCGUAAGAAUGUCACAAGAGGGUUUAAAUGAAGGAAUACUUAGCAAGGCGUGUGAAAAAUAGGGUUUUUAAAAUUGAUAAAAAUUUUUUGUCGGGUUGUCAGGUGUUAAAUUCAGAAGGUAUUGAAAAUGGGUGAAAUAAAAAUUUUGAAAAUAGCUUUAAUGAAUAUUCCAUGGUGUGAGACGAAUAUUUAGCAAAGCGUGUGAAAAAUUGAGUUUUUUAAAAUGAUUUUAAUGUUUUGCGGGGUUGUCAGGUGUUAAAUUGGUAACAUAUGGAAAAUUUUGAACCAAUGUUGGUAAUUGGUUAGAGCGCGGGUGACUUGUUCCACACGUCGAUAACUAGUCUGUCGGUAAGAGUAUUGGACGGUCGGUAUCUCGGCGAUGGGUAAAUAGUCGACGAAGUGUAAUGACGUGACAGGGUUAUCAGCCGUCAAACUUUUACCGUAUUGAAAAUAGUUGAAAUAAAAAUUUUAAAAAUAGCUUUAAUGGAUAUUAAAUGGUGUGAGACGAAUAUUUAGCAACGCGUGUGAAAAAUAGUGUUUUUGUUAUAUUGAUUUUGAUGUUUUGUGGGUUUGUUAUCAGUUAAACAGGUAAGUAUUGAAAAUUGUUAAAAUAAAAUUUUUUAAAAUAGCUUUAAUGGAUAUUAAAUGGUGUGAGUGGAAUAUUUAGCAACGCGUAUGAAGAAUUGCGUUUUUUUUUUAUUGAUUUUAAUGUUUUGCGGGGCUGUCAGCUGUUAAAUUUGCAACAUAUUGAAAAUGGUUGAAAUAACAAUUUUGAAAAUAGCUUUAAUGGAUAUUAAAUGGCGUGAGACGAAUAUUUAGUAACGCGUGUGAAAAAUGGCGUUUUUUUAAUUGAUUUUAAUGUUUUGUGGAGUUGUCAGCUGUUAAAUUUGCGACUUAUUGAAAAUGGUUAAAAUAAAAAUACUUAAAAUAGUUUUAAUGGAUAUUAAAUGGCGUGAGACGAAUAUUUAGCGACGCGUAUGAAAAAUUCCGUUGUUUUUAUAUUGAUUUUAACGUUUUGUGGGGUUAUCAGGUGUUAAAUUCGUAACAUAUUGAAAAUGGUUAAAAUAAAAUUUUUAAAAAUAGUUUUAAUUUAUAUUAAAUGGCGUGAGAUGAAUAUUCAGCAAGGCGUAUGAAAAAUUGGAAUUUUAAAAUUGAUUUUAAUGUUUUGUGGGGGUGUUAGCUAUAAAAUUUUGAACAUAUUGAAAAUAGUUGAAAUAAAAAUAAAAAAAAUAGGUUUAAUGGAUAUUAAAUGGUGUGCGACGAAUAUUCAGCACUGUGUGUGAAAAAUAGGGUAUUUGAAUUGAUUUUAAUGCGUUGCGGGGUUGUCAGCUGUCAAACUUGUAAAUAUUGAAAAUUUAGAAGUAGAUCGGUAAUUCGGUAGAGGGCAGGUGAUAUGUUCCAUACGUCGAUAACUAGGUUGUCGGUAAUAGUAUUGGAGGGUCGGUAUGUUGGAUGUGGGUAAAAUAGUGAUAUGAGUAUUAUGGGUAACCGACUCGAAGCGUCGGUAACUGGACUGAAGGUAAUGUUAGUCUUCGGUCGGUAUGUCGGCGAUGGGUAAAGAGUGAUAACAGUUUUAGGGGUAACCGGUUUCACGCGUCGAUAAUUGGACUGAUGGUAAUCCGAUUGGUAAUUUUUAAUUUAUAUAUAAAAUAUAAAAUUGAAAUAAAUACUUAUAAUUAAU
Diachasmimorpha longicaudata is the source of this 5414-nucleotide long non-coding RNA. RefSeq lists it as uncharacterized. NCBI's taxonomy places the organism in Eukaryota, Metazoa, Arthropoda, Insecta, Hymenoptera, Braconidae. The record is from RefSeq and is a predicted model, not a curated record. The transcript has 3 exons.